UCUCUCUCUUUAUUUAUACAAAUCUACAUAUGGGUUUACAGAGUUGCUGUACAUAUACUUUACAUAUUUACUACAACAAAUUAGGCUAAAGAAGUCACUGUUAAUGCCUUCUAUCUGAAAGCCUCUCUCUGUCCUGUCUGUAAACAACCACACAUUCACUGCAGUCUUGAAUUGCUGCCUGGUCCAGCCCUCAACACUUGGCUGCACGGUAACAAAAGUGUUCCACCAGCCGAUGGAUGUGUUCAGAAACUGUCUUUGUUGGUGCCACGUUCUGCACGUUGCACGUUCUGCCACGUUGGUGCAGCUCCCCAGGGAUGGGUGUGACAGCUCUGGUGGUGACUUCGGCAUGUCGGGCAGGCUGCCGGAGAGCCUGUAGGUGUGGCACCCAUUGCUGUUGCACCUUGAACAUGAUGGUGAGGCCCGCCAUGUCUCACCGGUGCUGGAGGGUGUGCAGUGCAAGCUGAAGGCCGAGCUCACUUUUCCUGAUGAGCCUCGCUGCUCGAUCCUGCACCUUAUCCAGGAGAGUGAGGUGCUUGUUUGCCAUGCUGCCCCAGGCCAGGCAUGCAUACUCCAAGGAGGAGCGGACCUACGCCUUGUAGAAUAACUCCAGUCCCUUGGCAUCAAGGAGGUAGGAGAUUCUCCUCAAGGAGGCCAGCUUCCCUGAGGCCUCUCUGGCGAAUCGCUCCACGUGGGUUCUGAAGGUCAACUUAUGGUUGUAAGUGACCCCCAGCGCCUCCACCUCAUCCCGCGGCGUCAGUGUUUCCCCUGUUGAAGGCUGCAACGUGGCUCAGGGUGGCAUUCAUGUCGUGGUUGGCUGCAGCUUCCUCCUCCAGUCCAUAGCUGUGGGAUAGGGGUAUGUCAUCUGCAAACGCCUUCGCGGUAGGAAUGAGGUGCAUCAGAUCAUUGACAUAUACGUUCCACAGCAAAGGGCUUAGGCAGCUCCCUUGAGGAACACCUGCCCUUAAGGGCUGUGGGUUUGAUUCCUGCCCAUUGAUGAUUACUUUGAGAUGUCUGUCUUUCAAGUAAUUCUCAUGGAGCUGGAGGAGUGCCCCGUCCACGCCUACAGCACGGAGCUUUGUUAUGAGGGCUGCGUGCCACACUUAGUCGAACGCCCCCUCGAUGUCAAGAGCCACGACAGCUGUGGUCUUCCCUUGGUCCAGGGCCCCACUCCACUCCGUCGAGAGGAGCAGGUGCAGGUCUGCUGCCGACCUCCCCUGCUGGAACCCAAACUGUCUGUUGCUUAGCAGGUGGUGCCUCUCAAGGUGCUGCGUGACACACACACACACACACACACACACACACACACACACACACACACACACACACACACACACACACACACACACACACACACACACACACACACACACACACACACACACACGCACACGCUCACACACACACACAC
This is a long non-coding RNA of Scylla paramamosain (green mud crab), 1408 nucleotides long. RefSeq lists it as uncharacterized. The record is from RefSeq and is a predicted model, not a curated record. NCBI's taxonomy places the organism in Eukaryota, Metazoa, Arthropoda, Malacostraca, Decapoda, Portunidae. The transcript has 2 exons.